RNAcentral lists this ribosomal RNA (210 nucleotides) under uncultured bacterium. RNAcentral describes it as "partial 16S ribosomal RNA". It matches the Rfam family "Bacterial small subunit ribosomal RNA", at positions 1291 to 1500 of the family's 1533-position model. The record is from RNAcentral.
GUUCGGAUCGCAGCCUGCAACCCGGCUGCGUGAAGCUGGAAUCGCUAGUAAUCGCGGAUCAGAAUGCCGCGGUGAAUACGUUCCCGGGUCUUGUACACACCGCCCGUCACACCAUGGGAGCCGGAAACGCCCGAAGCCAGUGGCCUGACCGCGAGGAGGGAGCUGUCGAAGGCGGGUCCGGUGACCGGGGUGAAGUCGUAACAAGGUAGC